GCGAACGGGUGCGUAACGCGUAUGCAACUUACCUUUUACUGGAAGAUAGCCCUCCGAAAGGGGGAUUAAUAUUCCAUAAGAUUAGAUUGGCGCAUGUCAAUUUAAUUAAAGCUCCGGCGGUAAAAGAUGGGCAUGCGUUCCAUUAGCUUGUUGGUGAGGUAAAGGCUCACCAAGGCAACGAUGGAUAGCUGGUCUGAGAGGAUGAUCAGCCACACUGGCACUGAGACACGGGCCAGACUCCUACGGGAGGCAGCAGUAGGGAAUAUUGGACAAUGGGUGCAAGCCUGAUCCGGCCAUGCCGCGUGCAGGAUGACAGCCCUAUGGGUUGUAAACUGCUUUUAUUUGGGAAGAAAUAAUCUCGUUUUCGGGAUGUUGACGGUACCAAACGAAUAAGGACCGGCUAACUCCGUGCCAGCAGCCGCGGUAAUACGGAGGGUCCAAGCGUUAUCCGGAUUUACUGGGUUUAAAGGGUGCGUAGGCGGCUAAAUAAGUCAGUGGUGAAAGCCUACAGCUUAACUGUAGAAUUGCCAUUGAAAC
This 537-nucleotide ribosomal RNA is filed under the name uncultured bacterium. RNAcentral's name for it is "bacterial SSU rRNA". It matches the Rfam family "Bacterial small subunit ribosomal RNA", at positions 98 to 633 of the family's 1533-position model. The record is from RNAcentral.